RNAcentral lists this ribosomal RNA (465 nucleotides) under uncultured bacterium. RNAcentral describes it as "partial 16S ribosomal RNA". It matches the Rfam family "Bacterial small subunit ribosomal RNA", at positions 28 to 507 of the family's 1533-position model. The record is from RNAcentral.
GACGAACGCUGGCGGCGUGCUUAACACAUGCAAGUCGAACGGAAAGGCCCCUUUGGGGGUACUCGAGUGGCGAACGGGUGAGUAACACGUGAGUAACCUGCCCUUGACUUCGGGAUAACUUCAGGAAACUGGGGCUAAUACCGGAUAGGAAUCCUUGCUGUAUGGUGGGGGUUGGAAAGCUUCGGCGGUUUUGGAUGGACUCGCGGCUUAUCAGCUUGUUGGUGGGGUAGUGGCUUACCAAGGCUUUGACGGGUAGCCGGCCUGAGAGGGCGACCGGCCACAUUGGGACUGAGAUACGGCCCAGACUCCUACGGGAGGCAGCAGUGGGGAAUAUUGCACAAUGGGCGGAAGCCUGAUGCAGCAACGCCGCGUGCGGGAUGACGGCCUUCGGGUUGUAAACCGCUUUCAGCAGGGGCGAAGCUUGUGGUGACGGUACCUGCAGAAGAAGCACCGGCUAACUACGUG